Molecule: ribosomal RNA, 253 nt
Filed under: uncultured bacterium
Lineage: Bacteria
Description: partial 16S ribosomal RNA
Rfam family: Bacterial small subunit ribosomal RNA
Source: RNAcentral
AACGUAGGUGACAAACGUUAUCCGGAGUUACUGGGCGUAAAGGGCGUGCAGGUGGUCUGUUAAGUCUGGCGUGAAAGCUCUCGGCUAAACCGGGAGAGGUCGUUGGAUACUGGCUGACUAGAGGACGGUAGAGGCGUGUGGAAUUCCGGGUGUAGUGGUGAAAUGCGUAGAGAUCCGGAGGAACACCAGUGGCGAAGGCGACACGCUGGGCCGUACCUGACGCUAAAGCGCGACAGCAUGGGGAGCAAACGGG